GCCGGCGUAGCUCAGUCGGCAGAGCGAGGCACUCGUAAUGCCUAGGUCGCGGGUUCAAGUCCCGCCGCCGGCU
Molecule: transfer RNA, 73 nt
Organism: Hydrogenivirga sp. 128-5-R1-1
Lineage: Bacteria; Pseudomonadati; Aquificota; Aquificia; Aquificales; Aquificaceae
Rfam family: tRNA
About the family: Transfer RNA (tRNA) molecules are approximately 80 nucleotides in length. Their secondary structure includes four short double-helical elements and three loops (D, anti-codon, and T loops). Further hydrogen bonds mediate the characteristic L-shaped molecular structure. tRNAs have two regions of fundamental functional importance: the anti-codon, which is responsible for specific mRNA codon recognition, and the 3' end, to which the tRNAs corresponding amino acid is attached (by aminoacyl-tRNA synthetases). tRNAs cope with the degeneracy of the genetic code in two manners: having more than one tRNA (with a specific anti-codon) for a particular amino acid; and 'wobble' base-pairing, i.e. permitting non-standard base-pairing at the 3rd anti-codon position.
Source: Rfam